RNAcentral lists this ribosomal RNA (305 nucleotides) under uncultured bacterium. Its description in RNAcentral is "bacterial SSU rRNA". It matches the Rfam family "Bacterial small subunit ribosomal RNA", at positions 335 to 637 of the family's 1533-position model. The record is from RNAcentral.
UCCCCUACGGGAGGCAGCAGUGAGGAAUAUUGGUCAAUGGCCGAGAGGCUGAACCAGCCAAGUCGCGUGAGGGAAGACGGCCCUACGGGUUGUAAACCUCUUUUGUCGGGGAGCAAAGAGAGUCACGUGUGACUCAUUGAGAGUACCCGAAGAAAAAGCAUCGGCUAACUCCGUGCCAGCAGCCGCGGUAAUACGGAGGAUGCGAGCGUUAUCCGGAUUUAUUGGGUUUAAAGGGUGCGCAGGCGGAGGUGCAAGUCAGCGGUAAAAGCCCGGGGCUCAACCCCGGCGAGCCGUUGAAACUGGCG